GAUGAAGAACGUAGUGAAAUGCGAAAAGUAAUGUGAAUUGCAGAAUUCAGUGAACCAUCGAAUCUUUGAACGCACAUUGCGCCCGCUGGAACUCCGGCGGGCACGCCUGUCCGAGCGUCAUUUCAACCCUCAGGCCCCCCUUCGCGGGCGGGCCUGGUGUUGGGGCCCGGCCGCUACCCUGCGGCCGUCCCCUAAAUUCAGUGGCGGCCUCGCCGUGAUCCCUUGCGUAGUAAUGCACCUCGCACCGGAGAGCGCCGUGGCCACGCCGUAAAACCCCCAAUUUUCAAUGGUUGACCUCGGAUCAGGUGGGAAUACCCGCUGAACUUAAGCAUAUCAAUAAGCGGAGGA
RNAcentral lists this unclassified non-coding RNA (348 nucleotides) under soil metagenome. RNAcentral describes it as "partial contains 5.8S ribosomal RNA, internal transcribed spacer 2, and large subunit ribosomal RNA". The stretch from base 1 to 120 matches the Rfam family "5.8S ribosomal RNA", at positions 35 to 154 of the family's 154-position model. The record is from RNAcentral.